Molecule: non-coding RNA, 217 nt
Organism: Nelumbo nucifera (sacred lotus)
Lineage: Eukaryota; Viridiplantae; Streptophyta; Magnoliopsida; Proteales; Nelumbonaceae
Source: RefSeq, a predicted model, not a curated record
GUCAAAUCCUGGCCACACAUCACCAACUGCUUCCAACCACUCCAAGGCAAGGUCAACUAUAAAAGGGGGUGUUCAUCUCAAGCAGGCAAAUCUAAAAAGAAAGGGGGAUUCAAUGUUUCCAGGAUCUGUUGAUACUAAACCUGUUGCUCCAAGGAAGGUCAGAUAUGCACCAAAAGCUCCUCCUCGUAGAGCACCCAUUUCUGUUGGACCUAAAAAU